This 801-nucleotide long non-coding RNA is filed under the name Spirodela polyrhiza (greater duckweed). RNAcentral's name for it is "long non-coding RNA (SPOL_LNC001551)". Lineage: Eukaryota; Viridiplantae; Streptophyta; Magnoliopsida; Alismatales; Araceae. The record is from RNAcentral.
CGAAUAUUAGAAUCCAAGCUGUCAAGGUUGCAAGUUUUCUGUAAAGGCAUAAGGAAGGAACGAAUAUAAUGUGCCACAUGAUGAAACAGGCAUAGGAAUCCCAAUGGGCAUAGGAAUUUUAGUCUCGGAAAGAGGAAGAUCGUUCAUAUUAAGACUCGAGUAAAGUUGUCACAGCAUAAAAUUUAUGUAAAGAUAUCAUCCUUCGUCAGAAAGAUAUAAGUGUACCAUGUGAUGAAACAGCAUUGAAGAUUCAUCGUAACAUAUUCAUAAGGGAACUGGCCAUCAAGAGAAGGCUCAAGGUAAGUAGACAACAGCUAGAACGUAUCCAAGCAGGAGAAAAAAUACCACAAGCAAGAAGAGUUUUGACCUUCCGUCAGGACGUCCGGCAGAUUGGUCCGAGGGGAGCAGCGAAGUCCAGACCACCGCAGCCGGCGAUCACUCAAAACUGCAAAACACCAGACAUAUUUCGAAAUUGAGCAAGUGAUGAAUUAUGAAGCCAAAUAUCAGACACAGGAAACCAGUGACCGGACACGACAGAAGCGUGAAGAACUUGUUGCGUACGGGCGUGCGAGAUGGAAGCGACUUGUGGGCGAAUGUGGAAGAGAACCAGCUCCGGGGAGCGGCCAAGGCGUCGGGAUCCCAGUCGCCGCGAGAACUUCAGCCGGACUCCCCCGCCGUGGUGCUGGUGAUGGACGACAGCAGACGCCCACCCCAUCGCACAGGACGAAGCUGAAGGAGAGAGAGAGAAACACAGAGCGACACAGAGAGAGAGAGAGAGAGAGAGAGAGAGAGAGAGNNNNN